This 489-nucleotide ribosomal RNA is filed under the name uncultured bacterium. Its description in RNAcentral is "partial 16S ribosomal RNA". It matches the Rfam family "Bacterial small subunit ribosomal RNA", at positions 28 to 507 of the family's 1533-position model. The record is from RNAcentral.
GACGAACGCUGGCGGCGUGCUUAACACAUGCAAGUCGAACGGUGAAGGGAUCAGCUUGCUGGUUCUGGAUGAGUGGCGAACGGGUGAGUAACACGUGAGUAACCUGCCCCCUUCUUCUGGAUAACCGCAUGAAAGUGUGGCUAAUACGGGAUAUUCUGGGUCUGUCGCAUGAUGGGUCUGGGAAAGAUAUUGUUUCGGUGGGGGAUGGGCUCGCGGCCUAUCAGCUUGUUGGUGGGGUGAUGGCCUACCAAGGCGGUGACGGGUAGCCGGCCUGAGAGGGUGGACGGCCACACUGGGACUGAGACACGGCCCAGACUCCUACGGGAGGCAGCAGUGGGGAAUAUUGCACAAUGGGCGCAAGCCUGAUGCAGCGACGCCGCGUGAGGGAUGGAGGCCUUCGGGUUGUAAACCUCUUUCGCCAGUGAAGCAGGCCUGCUCCUUGUGGGUGGGUUGACGGUAGCUGGAUAAGAAGCGCCGGCUAACUACGUG